RNAcentral lists this ribosomal RNA (490 nucleotides) under uncultured bacterium. RNAcentral describes it as "partial 16S ribosomal RNA". It matches the Rfam family "Bacterial small subunit ribosomal RNA", at positions 30 to 507 of the family's 1533-position model. The record is from RNAcentral.
AUUGAACGCUGGCGGCAGGCCUAACACAUGCAAGUCGAACGGUAACAGGAAGCAGCUUGCUGCUUUGCUGACGAGUGGCGGACGGGUGAGUAAUGUCUGGGAAACUGCCUGAUGGAGGGGGAUAACUACUGGAAACGGUAGCUAAUACCGCAUAACGUCGCAAGCCCAAAGAGGGGGACCUUAGGGCCUCUUGCCAUCGGAUGUGCCCAGAUGGGAUUAGCUAGUAGGUGGGGUAACGGCUCAGCUAGGCGACGAUCCCUAGCUGGUCUGAGAGGAUGACCAGCCACACUGGAACUGAGACACGGUCCAGACUCCUACGGGAGGCAGCAGUGGGGAAUAUUGCACAAUGGGCGCAAGCCUGAUGCAGCCAUGCCGCGUGUAUGAAGAAGGCCUUCGGGUUGUAAAGUACUUUCAGCGGGGAGGAAGGGAGUAAAGUUAAUACCUUUGCUCAUUGACGUUACCCGCAGAAGAAGCACCGGCUAACUCCGUG